RNAcentral lists this ribosomal RNA (253 nucleotides) under uncultured bacterium. Its description in RNAcentral is "partial 16S ribosomal RNA". It matches the Rfam family "Bacterial small subunit ribosomal RNA", at positions 524 to 776 of the family's 1533-position model. The record is from RNAcentral.
UACGUAGGGUGCGAGCGUUGUCCGGAAUUAUUGGGCGUAAAGAGCUCGUAGGCGGUUUGUCGCGUCGGCCGUGAAAUCUCCACGCUUAACGUGGAGCGUGCGGUCGAUACGGGCAGGCUUGAGUUCGGCAGGGGAGACUGGAAUUCCUGGUGUAGCGGUGAAAUGCGCAGAUAUCAGGAGGAACACCGGUGGCGAAGGCGGGUCUCUGGGCCGAUACUGACGCUGAGGAGCGAAAGCGUGGGGAGCAAACAGG